AUUGAACGCUGGCGGCAGGCUUAACACAUGCAAGUCGAGCGAGCGGCGGACGGGUGAGUAAUGUCUGGGAAACUGCCUGAUGGAGGGGGAUAACUACUGGAAACCGUAGCUAAUACCGCAUACCAUCAGAUGUGCCCAGAUGGGAUUAGCUAGUAGUGGGGGUAAUGGCUAACCUAGGCGACGAGCCCUAGCUGGUCUGAGAGGAUGACCAGCCAAACUUGAACGGAGACACGGUCCAGACUCCUACGGGAGGCAGCAGUUGGGAAUAUUGGACAAUGGGCGCAAGCCUGAUGCAGCCAUGCCGCGUGUGUGAAGAAGGCCUUCGGGUUGUAAAGCUCUGUCAGCGAGGAGGCGUUACUCGCACAAGAAGCACCGGCUAACUCCGUGCCAGCAGCCGCGGUAAUAC
Molecule: ribosomal RNA, 406 nt
Filed under: uncultured bacterium
Lineage: Bacteria
Description: partial 16S ribosomal RNA
Rfam family: Bacterial small subunit ribosomal RNA
Source: RNAcentral